This 726-nucleotide ribosomal RNA is filed under the name Triticum aestivum (bread wheat). Its description in RNAcentral is "partial small subunit ribosomal RNA". Lineage: Eukaryota; Viridiplantae; Streptophyta; Magnoliopsida; Poales; Poaceae. The record is from RNAcentral.
AUGGAGAGGGCCACGUCGACGUGGUUCCAUGCGCAGGCGGCGGCGGCGGCGGCAGCGGAGGACGACCUAUUGCUGGCGUUGACGCCGGCGGGCAGAAGGCUAGACCGGUACGACGAGCGAACCCAGACGGUGUGCGUGGACGGCAAGACGGUGCGGCUGUUCCAGUGCCUCUUCUGCGACAAGACGUUCCUCAAGUCGCAGGCGCUCGGCGGCCACCAGAACGCGCACCGCAAGGACCGCCUCGCCGGAGUCCUCGGCGACCCCUACAACAACGACAGCCUGUUGGGAGGUGCCACCACCGGGCCGUCCUGCGAUUCUGUUGCCGGCUGGUCCAUGUGCACUUACAUCGCCUCGCACGGCGGUGCCGCCGCGGUGGCUCCAGCCACCGAUGACUCCAGGCAAGAGAGGUGGGGAGGCGGCCGCGCUCCACGCUUCGCGGAGCCCGCGCCGCUCCUGGACCCGUCCACUGGCCGCGACGGCGUGAUGGGCCGGUCAAGGGCCUCCGUCCCUAGCGGCGGCGGCAAGGCGGCAAGGCGCCGGACCUCGAGCUGCACCUCUAGCUAUCUAGCGUCGCCGGGCCGGCUGCUGCCAUUCAUAUUGCACAGGUGUCGUCGACGAAAACAUCAAGGGACAAAUAUAAUCGUCUGUGUCGCCGAUCGAACUUGUAUCGACACGUCCGCUGCUCUUGGUAUAUUUGUGUUCUUGCGUGAUAUUGUAGGCAGCUAG